RNAcentral lists this ribosomal RNA (497 nucleotides) under uncultured bacterium. RNAcentral's name for it is "partial 16S ribosomal RNA". It matches the Rfam family "Bacterial small subunit ribosomal RNA", at positions 28 to 507 of the family's 1533-position model. The record is from RNAcentral.
GAUGAACGCUGGCGGCGUACCUAAUACAUGCAAGUCGAGCGAACAGACGAGGAGCUUGCUCCUCUGACGUUAGCGGCGGACGGGUGAGUAACACGUGGAUAACCUACCUAUAAGACUGGGAUAACUUCGGGAAACCGGAGCUAAUACCGGAUAAUAUAUUGAACCGCAUGGUUCAAUAGUGAAAGACGGUUUUGCUGUCACUUAUAGAUGGAUCCGCGCCGCAUUAGCUAGUUGGUAAGGUAACGGCUUACCAAGGCAACGAUGCGUAGCCGACCUGAGAGGGUGAUCGGCCACACUGGAACUGAGACACGGUCCAGACUCCUACGAGAGGCAGCAGUAGGGAAUCUUCCGCAAUGGGCGAAAGCCUGACGGAGCAACGCCGCGUGAGUGAUGAAGGUCUUCGGAUCGUAAAACUCUGUUAUUAGGGAAGAACAAAUGUGUAAGUAACUAUGCACGUCUUGACGGUACCUAAUCAGAAAGCCACGGCUAACUACGUG